CAGCCGCCGCGGUAAUACGGAGGGUGCAAGCGUUAAUCGGAAUUACUGGGCGUAAAGCGCACGCAGGCGGUCUGACAAGUCAGAUGUGAAAUCCCCGGGCUUAACCUGGGAACUGCAUUUGAAACUGUCAGGCUGGAGUCUUGUAGAGGGGGGUGGAAUUCCAGGUGUAGCGGUGAAAUGCGUAGAGAUCUGGAGGAAUACCGGUGGCGAAGGCGGCCCCCUGGACAAAGACUGACGCUCAGGUGCGAAAGCGUGGGGAGCAAACAGGAUUAGAUACCCGUGUAGUACCUGUCUCUUAUAC
This 301-nucleotide ribosomal RNA is filed under the name uncultured bacterium. RNAcentral's name for it is "partial 16S ribosomal RNA". It matches the Rfam family "Bacterial small subunit ribosomal RNA", at positions 509 to 807 of the family's 1533-position model. The record is from RNAcentral.